RNAcentral lists this ribosomal RNA (460 nucleotides) under uncultured bacterium. RNAcentral describes it as "partial 16S ribosomal RNA". It matches the Rfam family "Bacterial small subunit ribosomal RNA", at positions 338 to 795 of the family's 1533-position model. The record is from RNAcentral.
CCUACGGGUGGCAGCAGUGAGGAAUAUUGGUCAAUGGCCGGAAGGCUGAACCAGCCAUGCCGCGUGAAGGUCAGUGCCCUAUGGGCGUUAAACUUCUUUUGUGCGGGAGCAAUAAUGGUCACGUGUGGCCAGACGAGAGUACCGUCUGAAUAAGCACCGACUAACUCCUUGCCAGCAGCCGCGGUAAUACGGGAGAUGCAAGCGUUAUCCGGAUUUAUUGGGGUUGAAGGGUGCGGAGGCUGUGAGGUAAGUCAGCGGUGAAAUGCCCCCGGUCAACGGGGUGAAUUGCCAUUGAUACUGCCUAGCUAGAGUGCAGAUGCGGUGGGAGGAAUGUGUGGUGUAGCGGUGAAAUGCAUAGAUAUCACACAGAACACCGAUUGCGAAGGCAUCUCACGAAUCCGCAAUUGACGCUGAUGCACGAAAGCGUGGGUAUCAAACAGGAUUAGAUACCCGAGUAGUC